This 1625-nucleotide long non-coding RNA is filed under the name Bos indicus x Bos taurus (hybrid cattle). RNAcentral describes it as "lncRNA (ENSBIXG00000018304.1)". The record is from RNAcentral. Lineage: Eukaryota; Metazoa; Chordata; Mammalia; Artiodactyla; Bovidae.
CUGCUAUACAGUAACCCCUACAUAUGAAUGAGUUCCAUUCUAAAAGCGUGUUCGUAAGUCCAGUUUGUUCAUACGUCCAACAAAGUUAGUCUAGGUACGCAACUAACACAAUCAGCUACAUAUUGUAGAACUGUACUAUAAUAGGUUUAUAAUACUUUUCACACAAAUAAUACAUAAAAAUAGCAAAAACUAAAGAAAGCAUUUUUAGUCUUACAGAACAGUACUUUGAAAAGUACAGUAGUACAGUACAACAGCUGGCACUCAGGGACUGGCAUCAAGUGAACAAGCAAGAAGAGGAGGAGGGAGAUGCGGUGGGGUACGGGAGAGCUGAAGGACCGUCAGCAAUAGGAGACGGAGGGCAAGUGCCUGUCACUCACACCUGACGCUGAUGGAACACACGUUUGAAUCUGAAAGCUCACAACUUGAAGGUGGCCCUGGAAAUACUCCUCCCUGCACUGGAUUACUAAUGGAAAGGAGGAAACACCACACACCAGUGGAGACAGCACCCUUGUCAAAUACAUUGGCCCCCUUUCCAGCUCUCCCUGCCCAGCUGGUAAUUGGAUACACUCACAGAAUCCUGUUCAGCAGCAGUUUAGGAUGCGGGACGCCUCUUUCCUCCCAGAAGCGGGGACCUGCACUCACCCCUUGGGGAUUGCUUCAGUGGCUUAAAGAAAAGUUGUCCUUGUAUCCUACCCGUCUGCCUGUUCUGCAGAGCCUGCGUGGGACUUGGUGCCAUAUCCCUGGGCUUCAAAACCUCGGAAGCUGGCGGAAACUGGCUAAAACCAGAGGCAGGAUGUUUCCCCCAAACCCGGCCCCCAGCCUGGAGAGAACCUACUUUUCCCACUCAGCACCUCUAGCUUGGGAGCUUAUAAAGGGCUAAUGAAGAAGCUCUAUAGGCCAACAUACCUUGGUUCUGUUUCCAGCGCCCUCACUAAAGGGCUGCUUGGUGACCUCAGGCAAAUUACUUACCUACUCUGAUCCUUAGUUGCUUCGUCUAAAAACGGAUGGAAUUGGACCAAGUGACUAUUAAUACUAAGGUCUUUUUCAGCUCUGAUGGUCAAAGAUGCUAAUGUUCUAUUUCCUGAGGAUAUAAAAAUAUAACACAAUUUUUUCCUUUAGGAAAAUUAUAUACUUAGAGGGAAGAAGACUAACAAGUAGAAAACAUACCUCAGGCUUGUUUCUCAUAUGGCAAAACAAAACCUAAUACAGAGUGUAUUUAAAAGAUGCAGUGCUUAUUAAAAGUUCUCCAAGUGCAAGGCAUUUAAAGCACUUGACUAGGAAUGGAUAUGGAGAAGGCAAUGGCACCCCACUCCAGUACUCUUGCCUGGAAAAUCCCAUGGACGGAGGAGCCUGGUGGGCUGCAGUCCAUGGGGUCGCUAGGAGUUGGACACGACUGAGCGACUUCACUUUGACUUUUCACUUUCAUGCACUGGAGGAGAAAAUGGCAACCCACUCCAGUGUUCUUUUGCCUGGAGAAUCCCAUGGACAGAGGAGCCUGGUGGACUGCCAUCUAUGGGGUCGCACACAGUCGGACACGACUGAAGCGACUUAACAGCAGCAGCAGUAGCAGGAAUGGAUAACAACAGUCAAAUAAAGGAAUGAACAGUCUGCUGUUUCUAAAGACU